This is a long non-coding RNA of Gadus macrocephalus (Pacific cod), 1318 nucleotides long. RefSeq lists it as uncharacterized. The record is from RefSeq and is a predicted model, not a curated record. Lineage: Eukaryota; Metazoa; Chordata; Actinopteri; Gadiformes; Gadidae. The transcript has 2 exons.
AUGAAUGUGCAGAUACACCACAAUCCAUAUCAGAGAACAGUUGUAUUACUCAGCUGAUAACUCAGUACCUGUGGUGACCACACUUUGGUACCAUAGAAAUGCUACAUCUUGUUGUUGAGGUGGAUAUAGUUAUAGAUCGAUAAGCUUGCAAAUUUUAUUUAUAAAAACAACCAUUGAUCACAAAAUAUAACGAUAGUGUCUCCGGUGUACGGGACGGUGAUAGGUGAGAGCAGGGUGAAAUACAGGGGGUCUUGGGAGGGUCUGAGACCUCUAGUUUGACCCUUAAGACCCCCUCAAAGCCUCAACAGCAAUAUUUUGGAGGGUCCAUCUAAAUAAAUAUUUGAAAGUUGCAAUUGUCGAACAAAAUGUAUUUUCAAAGCUUAAUAUGUCCAGUAUUCAUUAUUCAAAUUACAAAACAUUUAUUUACAAAUAUGAAUUGGUUCCAGAAUAAAAUUGUCAUAUUGCUAAACCAGGCUGAAGAGAAAACUCACUAUUUUAAAACAUUUGUAACCUGUUCAGUACAUUUGGUUAUAUUGAUGAUAUUUGGGUUCAACCAAUAGGAUGGGUUGAUAUCGAGACUUCGGGGUCAUCUGGGGAAGGGUGAGAGGUCACGAGUGAGCGGGAAAAAGGAGAGAGAGUGAAGAGACAAAGGAGGAGAUUACUUUAUUCUCCGUAGAGAUCACCCAGCAAAAUGGUGUUUAUACAUUUGCUUCUUAGUUGUUUGACGGUUAAAGGAGUACGGGAGAGAGAGUAUGUGGGGAUGGUUUUACUCGUGUAUCUGUUUGUGUUGGGAUGUUUUGGAUGGAAACCUCAGUCUUCUCCACUCCCUAUAAUCGUACCAGGAGUUUUUCUUGCACGCGCUAAGAGCGAAGAGUCUAUUGUGUUGUAACACUGAGCCCAGACAGGCCUGCAACGUUUAUGACGGCAUAUCACUGACAAAAGGCGCAAGCAAACAUGACUUUGUGUGGGCGAACAACUAACACAUCCGUACGCACAAAUCAUUAUUGUAAACACUAUAACUGCACUUGCGGUCAGCAGUUCUCCUGAUCGCGAGAGCAACAAUAAAGCCUGUGAGGCAGAAACGAUUCAUUGAGCGCUCACGUAAAGUGAAGCAGCACACAACUGACACCCCUACGCCCACAAAUAAUGUCUUUGCUCUCUUUGUGUUUUCCUGCUCGCUCUGAUAUUUUUCUUCUCUCAACACAAUGUACAUAAUAUUGGAAUAAAACUUCUCAUACUAAACGUCUAGAUGCACUGAUAACAUGUAUUACAAUACAAUACACAAUAUCCUACAAUAAAUGUAACAUUAAUAUUCAAA